Ricinus communis (castor bean) is the source of this 81-nucleotide non-coding RNA. The record is from Rfam. NCBI's taxonomy places the organism in Eukaryota, Viridiplantae, Streptophyta, Magnoliopsida, Malpighiales, Euphorbiaceae.
ACGCGACGGGGUAUUGUAAGUGGCAGAGUGGCCUUGCUGCCACGAUCCACUGAGAUUCAGCCCUUCGUCGCUCCGAUUCGU